UAUUAUUGCAGGCAAAUAUUGUUGAUCAUAGAAAACGUGCAACUGUUUUUAGUUGGAUAACAGGCCUAGUUUCUGCAUCACAUGUCGUCAGAAAUCUCCUAGCACGUUUUCUUCCAGAAGAGUACAUUUUCAAAGUUUCAAUAGCUUUGUUAAUCUUCUGUCCAGUUUAUAUGGCCUUCUUUCUCGUUGAAACGGUUAAAUCAACUCCAAAGCUGGAUCAACAUUCAUCUUAUUUGAAUAAAGCACUCACGGUUGUACAAGAACGUUAUAAAA
Helianthus annuus (common sunflower) is the source of this 273-nucleotide long non-coding RNA. RefSeq lists it as uncharacterized. Lineage: Eukaryota; Viridiplantae; Streptophyta; Magnoliopsida; Asterales; Asteraceae. The record is from RefSeq and is a predicted model, not a curated record. The transcript is spliced from 2 exons.